AGUGGUCUUGCUCUGCGCACAAAAUACUUUCUUCUUCCUCUUCGCAUCUUCCUCCAUUUCUCCAUCCAACCGCCGAUUUAUCUCUGUAAGGAUGUUGUCCUGGAGUGACACCUCUAGCGGUCCGCCGUCCAUGCCGCCCCGACGGCCAUGCUGCUACACCGCCGCCACGUCCUGCCAGGCCAGCGACUCUGGUGGAUCCAGAGUUCACCGGAUUCGAGAUUGAAGGAGACGUUGGGUGCCACCAUGGGCUCUACGCUGCUAGAAAGGUCUCUUACGAUGGCACCAACAUAGGGAGACGAUUCCUAGCAUGCGGAGAAGAGGAGGAUCGCCAUGACGACUGUGGAUUUAUCCAGUGGGUGGAUCCCGAGUGGCCGCCUAUUCUGAAGAGAGCAAUUAUUCAGCUCCGAGACGAGAUCUCCGAUCAACGGCACGAGCUUGACCUGGAAAAAGAGGAAUAUGAUUACAAGAAACGUGUCCUCGACAUUGAUGCAGCCUUGGUCCAGAGGGAGAGGAAUUCUCUGAACAAGGGACGCGAUAGCCUGACAGCUGCGGAACUGGCUAUGAAGGAGGCCCUUGCUGGGUGCGUUCUCGCAAGGGACGCAGCAGUUAGCAAGACCGAGGCUACGGCAAUGUAUCUAAGGUGCACUAUUGCGCUGUCAUCUGUGCUUGCCAUCCUCCUCGCCUACGUUGCCGCCGUCAGCUAAAUCCUUCAGCGAUGCUCCACGCCCCACCUACUAUGUCCUAUGUUUACGUUAUUAGUUCGCUCGGGUUAAAAAUUUUUUGUAUACAUUGUUAGUUCGUUCGCCAUGCUCAACUCAAUCAGCAGUUCGUUUUGUGAUAGCAUGUUGUGUAUUUGCAUUUAUGUUUAAUGUGAUCCUUUGCCGACUGA
Brachypodium distachyon (stiff brome) is the source of this 889-nucleotide long non-coding RNA. RefSeq lists it as uncharacterized. The record is from RefSeq and is a predicted model, not a curated record. The transcript has 2 exons. NCBI's taxonomy places the organism in Eukaryota, Viridiplantae, Streptophyta, Magnoliopsida, Poales, Poaceae.